GGAGAGAUGGCCGAGUGGUUUAAGGCGCACGCUUGGAAAGCGUGUGUGCGUGCAAGCGUACCGUGGGUUCGAAUCCCACUCUCUCCGCCA
Molecule: transfer RNA, 90 nt
Filed under: Janthinobacterium lividum
Lineage: Bacteria; Pseudomonadati; Pseudomonadota; Betaproteobacteria; Burkholderiales; Oxalobacteraceae
Also listed under: 2 other names
Description: tRNA-Ser
Rfam family: tRNA
About the family: Transfer RNA (tRNA) molecules are approximately 80 nucleotides in length. Their secondary structure includes four short double-helical elements and three loops (D, anti-codon, and T loops).
Source: RNAcentral